GCUCCCCUGGACUAUUCGCCAGUUGGAUGUGUUCUUGAGCCGUUAAACCCACCCUGGAGGCUUUGCCCAAUGGCGCCGUGUGCAUGUCCGCUCGUCGGAAAGCCUUAAGCGUCGGACUGGCCACCACCUGAACCUUACGGUUCAGGACAAUUCCAGCAGCGGUAUUCCGGGGCCUCA
RNAcentral lists this non-coding RNA (177 nucleotides) under Pseudomonadales bacterium. Its description in RNAcentral is "6S RNA". It matches the Rfam family "6S / SsrS RNA". Rfam says of the family: E. coli 6S RNA was the first non coding RNA to be sequenced, but its function was unknown until recently. It consists of 184 nucleotides that fold into an extended hairpin structure with a large single-stranded internal bulge. The 6S RNA specifically associates with RNA polymerase holoenzyme containing the sigma70 specificity factor. The record is from RNAcentral. Lineage: Bacteria; Pseudomonadati; Pseudomonadota; Gammaproteobacteria; Pseudomonadales.